Molecule: small nucleolar RNA, 133 nt
Organism: Suncus etruscus (white-toothed pygmy shrew)
Lineage: Eukaryota; Metazoa; Chordata; Mammalia; Eulipotyphla; Soricidae
Source: RefSeq, a predicted model, not a curated record
AACCAAAGUGUUGAGCCUAGUUCAGGGUUGCUUCCCUGUUCUGGUAAUUAAACUUUGGGAGAUUAAGGCAAAGUCUGGGUGAGAUGAUUGGGUAGAAUUCUUUCUCUAUUCAUUUUCCUCCCAGCCUACAAAA